GAUGAAGAACGUAGCAAAAUGCGAUAAGUAAUGUGAAUUGCAGAAUUCAGUGAAUCAUCGAAUCUUUGAACGCACAUUGCGCCCGCUGGUAUUCCGGCGGGCAUGCCUGUUCGAGCGUCAUUUCAACCCUCAAGCCCCCGGGUUUGGUGUUGGGGAUCGGCUCUGCCCUUCUGGGCGGUGCCGCCCCCGAAAUACAUUGGCGGUCUCGCUGCAGCCUCCAUUGCGUAGUAGCUAACACCUCGCAACUGGAACGCGGCGCGGCCAUGCCGUAAAAUCCCAACUUCUGAAUGUUGACCUCGGAUCAGGUAGGAAUACCCGCUGAACUUAAGCAUAUCAAUAAGCGGAGGA
RNAcentral lists this unclassified non-coding RNA (348 nucleotides) under soil metagenome. Its description in RNAcentral is "partial contains 5.8S ribosomal RNA, internal transcribed spacer 2, and large subunit ribosomal RNA". The stretch from base 1 to 120 matches the Rfam family "5.8S ribosomal RNA", at positions 35 to 154 of the family's 154-position model. The record is from RNAcentral.